Molecule: ribosomal RNA, 253 nt
Filed under: uncultured bacterium
Lineage: Bacteria
Description: partial 16S ribosomal RNA
Rfam family: Bacterial small subunit ribosomal RNA
Source: RNAcentral
UACGAGGGGGGCAAAUGUUGCUCGGAAUCACUGGGCGUAAAGGGAGCGUAGGCGGGUGUUUAAGUUAGGUGUUUAAUCCUGGGGCCCAACCCCAGUCGUGCACCUAAAACUGGACAUCUUGAAUAGUGGAGAGGUCAGUGGAAUUGGGGGUGUAGCGGUGGAAUGCGUAGAGAUCCCCAAGAACACCAGUUGCGAAGGCGGCUGACUGGACACAUAUUGACGCUGAGGCUCGAAAGCAUGGGGAGCAAACAGG